This 238-nucleotide ribosomal RNA is filed under the name uncultured bacterium. RNAcentral's name for it is "partial 16S ribosomal RNA". It matches the Rfam family "Bacterial small subunit ribosomal RNA", at positions 96 to 334 of the family's 1533-position model. The record is from RNAcentral.
CGGCGGACGGGUGAGUAACGCGUGGGUAACCUGCCUCAUACAGGGGGAUAACAGUUAGAAAUGGCUGCUAAUACCGCAUAAGACCACAGCACCGCAUGGUGCAGGGGUAAAAACUCCGGUGGUAUGAGAUGGACCCGCGUCUGAUUAGCUAGUUGGUGGGGCAACGGCCUACCAAGGCGACGAUCAGUAGCCGACCUGAGAGGGUGACCGGCCACAUUGGGACUGAGACACGGCCCAA